UCCCGGGUCGUCUAAUCGGCAGGACGGCGGCUUUUGGUGCCGCUUGUAGGGGUUCGAAUCCUCUCCCGGGAG
RNAcentral lists this transfer RNA (72 nucleotides) under Phycisphaerae bacterium. RNAcentral's name for it is "tRNA-Gln". It matches the Rfam family "tRNA". Rfam says of the family: Transfer RNA (tRNA) molecules are approximately 80 nucleotides in length. Their secondary structure includes four short double-helical elements and three loops (D, anti-codon, and T loops). The record is from RNAcentral. Lineage: Bacteria; Pseudomonadati; Planctomycetota; Phycisphaerae. RNAcentral also lists the same sequence under 2 other names.